AACGAACGCUGGCGGCAUGCCUAACACAUGCAAGUCGAACGAGACCUUCGGGUCUAGUGGCGCACGGGUGCGUAACGCGUGGGAACCUGCCCUUAGGUUCGGAAUACCUCCCCGAAAGGGGUGCUAAUACCGGAUAAUGUCUUCGGACCAAAGAUUUAUCGCCUUUGGAUGGGCCCGCGUUGGAUUGGCUAGUUGGUAGGGUAAAAGCCUACCAAGGCGACGAUCCAUAGCUGGUCUGAUAGGAUGAUCAGUCACACUGGGACUGAGACACGGACCAGACUCCUACGGGAGGCAGCAGUGGGGAAUAUUGGACAAGGGGCGAAAGUCUGAUACAGCAAUGCCGCGUGAGUGAUGAAGGCCGUAGGGUUGUAAAGCUCUUUUACCCGGGAUGAUAAUGACAGUACCGGGAGAAUAAGCACCGGCUAACUCCGUG
This 433-nucleotide ribosomal RNA is filed under the name uncultured bacterium. Its description in RNAcentral is "partial 16S ribosomal RNA". It matches the Rfam family "Bacterial small subunit ribosomal RNA", at positions 29 to 507 of the family's 1533-position model. The record is from RNAcentral.